RNAcentral lists this ribosomal RNA (253 nucleotides) under uncultured bacterium. Its description in RNAcentral is "partial 16S ribosomal RNA". It matches the Rfam family "Bacterial small subunit ribosomal RNA", at positions 524 to 776 of the family's 1533-position model. The record is from RNAcentral.
UACGGAGGAUGCGAGCGUUGUUCGGAAUUACUGGGCGUAAAGCGCAUGUAGGCGGAUAUUUAAGUCAGGGGUGAAAUCCCGCAGCUCAACUGCGGAACUGCCUUUGAUACUGGGUAUCUUGAGUAUGGAAGAGGUGAGUGGAAUUCCGAGUGUAGAGGUGAAAUUCGUAGAUAUUCGGAGGAACACCAGUGGCGAAGGCGGCUCACUGGUCCAUUACUGACGCUGAGGUGCGAAAGCGUGGGGAGCAAACAGG